AUUCAGUUAUUUUCAAGGUUAAACCGUUUGGUUUUCGACCACUAGGACCCGGGUUCGAUUCCCGCAUUGGACA
Non-coding RNA from Cordylochernes scorpioides, 73 nucleotides. Lineage: Eukaryota; Metazoa; Arthropoda; Arachnida; Pseudoscorpiones; Chernetidae. The record is from the annotation of a GenBank genome assembly.